AUGAGCUUUAAAUGGCCGCAGUACCUUGACUGUGCUAAGGUAGCAUAAUCAAUUGGCCUUUAAAUGAGGUCUGGAAUGAACGGAUUUUCGUAAAUCAACUGUCUCUUUCUUAAUUUCUUGAAUUUGCCUUGAAGGUGAAAAUGCCUUCGAUGAGAAAAAAGACGAGAAGACCCUAAGAGUUUUGAUUAUUGAAGGCGCUGUCUUCGCUAUUUUUGCUGGGGCGGCAAAGGAACAUUUAAACUUCCUUUUUUAAUUCUGAAAAGUCAUUUUUUUAAAGGAUUAUUAAACUACCUUAGGGAUAACAGCAUUAUUCUUUUUGAGCUUGUGACCUCGAUGUUGGACUAAGGACCCCUUCGGUGAGCAACCAAAGGUGUUAGGUUCUGUUCGAACUUU
RNAcentral lists this ribosomal RNA (393 nucleotides) under Wallaconchis comendadori. RNAcentral's name for it is "partial 16S ribosomal RNA". It matches the Rfam family "Bacterial large subunit ribosomal RNA", at positions 1916 to 2589 of the family's 2925-position model. Lineage: Eukaryota; Metazoa; Mollusca; Gastropoda; Systellommatophora; Onchidiidae. The record is from RNAcentral.